This is a long non-coding RNA of Suricata suricatta (meerkat), 788 nucleotides long. RefSeq lists it as uncharacterized. The record is from RefSeq and is a predicted model, not a curated record. The transcript has 2 exons. NCBI's taxonomy places the organism in Eukaryota, Metazoa, Chordata, Mammalia, Carnivora, Herpestidae.
UCCCAGCAGGCCCUUUCCUGAUCUUCCGCAGGCCUAGCAGGACGUACCUGGAAGCUGAAGAGGAAAAGCCGGCCCCUUCACCUCUCGACCCACGAGAAGCAGACCUAUGUGUCCCAGCUCUGGUGGCACCUGAGUCCCCCUCUAGCUCACCUCGUGGAAGUGGGGUGUCCUCUUCAGCAGAUCUUCAGAAAAGUGGCCUGCUGGGACGUCUGCCUGGAAGGAAUCUGAAGGACUGGGUCUCCACCAGCAUGCGGAAGCCCCGUGGGGGGAAAGAGAGGGGCCUUGGGCAGGAAACUGGGUAGGAACUGUAGGAAUGAAAAAUUUCAGGGGGCUGCUGCGGGCAGGCACUGUGUAGGAAUGAAAAAUUUCAGGCCCUAGAGUGACCAUGGAACUAAAGUCGUUUUUCAAGGAGAAGUUGUUUGAAUCCCAGGAUGUGGUUUAAGAUAAGCUGAAAUGCUUCCCUCCCUAAGGUGUGCAAACAUCGUAAAACUUGUAGUGGACUCUGCUAAUUCUGUUGUUUUGCUUAUCUGACAUUGCUAAAUGUAUGUCGUAAAACUUGUAAUGGACUCUGCUGACUCUGCUGUUUUGCUUAUCUGACAUUGCUAGAUGUAUGUUGUAAAAUUUAUAAUGGAAAGAUACCUGUGAAGGAAGAAAAAAAAAAAAAGGAAAACCCUAUAAGAAUCCCGUUUUAAUCUUCUUCGGGGCUCUUCUCCUCUACCCCUGAGUGGGAUAAGAGUUGAGCCCCAAUGCGUUGGUCCUUGAAUAAAGCCUCAUGUGUUUUGCAUCAA